RNAcentral lists this ribosomal RNA (490 nucleotides) under uncultured bacterium. RNAcentral describes it as "partial 16S ribosomal RNA". It matches the Rfam family "Bacterial small subunit ribosomal RNA", at positions 29 to 507 of the family's 1533-position model. The record is from RNAcentral.
AUUGAACGCUGGCGGCAUGCCUUACACAUGCAAGUCGAACGGCAUCGCGGGAAAGCUUGCUUUCCUGGCGGCGAGUGGCGAACGGGUGAGUAACACAUCGGAACGUACCGGCUAGUGGGGGAUAACCCGUCGAAAGACGGGCUAAUACCGCAUACGCUCUUCGGAGGAAAGCAGGGGACCUUUGGGCCUUGCGCUAGCCGAGCGGCCGAUGUCCGAUUAGCUAGUUGGUGGGGUAAAGGCCUACCAAGGCGACGAUCGGUAGCGGAUCUGAGAGGACGAUCCGCCACACUGGGACUGAGACACGGCCCAGACUCCUACGGGAGGCAGCAGUGGGGAAUCUUGGACAAUGGGGGCAACCCUGAUCCAGCAAUGCCGCGUGGGUGAAGAAGGCCUUCGGGUUGUAAAGCCCUUUCGGCAGGGAAGAAAUCGGCGGGGCGAAUAACCCUGCUGGAUGACGGUACCUGCAGAAGAAGCACCGGCUAACUACGUG